UGAGGCACUUCAGGUGUUUGAGAAGAUGGGAGGGAGUGGAACUGAUGGGGUUCUUGUUAAACCAGACCUUGUUCUCUACAAUACAUUGAUUGAUGGACUUUGCAAGGUAGGGAAACAAGAAGAAGGGUUAAAGUUGAUGGAGAAGAUGAGAUUGGAGAAUGUAUGUGUACCUAAUACUAUUACCUACAAUUGCUUGAUAGAUGGUUACUGCAAAGCAG
RNAcentral lists this unclassified non-coding RNA (218 nucleotides) under Hevea brasiliensis (rubber tree). The record is from RNAcentral. Lineage: Eukaryota; Viridiplantae; Streptophyta; Magnoliopsida; Malpighiales; Euphorbiaceae.